AAUCGGACCCAUUGUAUAUUACUUAUUGUUGUUUUUUUAUAUUAUUGUAUAUAUACAUUUCUUAUAUUGUAUAUUACUUAUUGUCGUUUUUUUACAUUUUAAGAUAAUUGUUUAAUGUAGUAUUUCCAUUUUAUAAAUUGAAUAUUUACUAAUUAUUUAUUUUAACUUAUAUUACAUAUAUAAAUUUCUUAUAUUGUAUAUUACUCAUUAUCGUUUGGGCAAAUCUCCAAAAUAGAACAUUUCUAAGUUUAUAUCACAGAAAAUAGCACUCAAAAACUAAAAUCAAAAAAAUCUCAAAAUUUGAAAUCUUAUCUCCAAAAAACCUUAAAACCUAAACUCUAAACCCUAAACUCUAAAUUCUAAACCCUAAACCCCACCCCUUAAGUGCUAUUUUUGCGACUUUUGACCUUGAGUGCUAGUUUCGGAACAAAAACUUGAUUUAGUGCUAUUUUGGUCUUUUUCUCUUAUCGUUUUUUACAUUUUAAGAUAAAUGUUUGAUGUUUAUGUGUAAAAUAAAUUAUUUCAAAUAUUAUGUUUGAUAUUUAAAAUACAUAUAUAUAAUAUUUAUCAUAUGAUGGUGGUAUGAGAGAAAGGUUUUGUAUUUUAGGUUGAAAGAAACUAUUGGAAGGAGAUGCAAGAAAUUAGCAUAACGAGACUUUUCGUUGAUAUAUGAAUAUGCUUUUAGAAAAUUUUUAUCAAUAUAUAGAUGUUUAAAUCUUAAUAUAUUUUUUUCAUUGUUUUUAAGUUGUGUAUUUCUUUUUCUUAUACUUUCUAUUUACUUAAUAUCUAUAUUUUACAUUUUAAGAUAGAUGUUUAAUAUUUAAUGUACUCUUUCCAUUUUAUUAAAGCUUCAUCAAACUACUUCAAGUUGCACAUGCAAGAAGACCAUAUCCUUUGAUCUUUCACCAGCAGGUGCUGGGGCAGUAGCCAUGGGUGUCUGAGUGUCUAAGUUGUCCCCAUUGAUGACUCGCAAAAAGCCAAUGAUAUCUGUCAGGGAGUUAAAAAUGUUAAAGUGCUGAGAAUCAAUCUGGUCUAAAUAAAUCAUUAGAGUUAAAGAUUUAUAAUGUUUAGAGAGAAAAAAGUGUUCACCGAGAAGAUCUGUGUGUUUAUCGACAAUGUCGGUGAACGCUUGGAGAUCUCGUAUACGAAAGUGCUGAGAAUCAAUCUGGUAGUCCACUUCAUGAACAGGAGUGAAGGUUGUCUUGUUGUUGAAGCUGAUCCCGUGCUUAUGUGGUGAGACUCUGUAAACUGAUUUGGAAAGUCUGAUGCUGAACCCGUUGAGCUUGUAAAUUGUGUUGGGUUUCAGGUCCUCUUUGAAGCGGGGAAGGAAGUGUGUGGAGAUAAACCCGUGAAUGGUUGUUGACUGUGGUGGUUUCAUUACGCAAGAGUUAGUAAUGAAUGUUAACAAUAAAAGUAUGGUAGUUUAAGUUGAGAGAAUACCUUUGAGUCUAUGAGGAGCAACUCAACUCCCAUGAGUAUGUUCGCCUUUUUGAAGUUUCGGGCUUCCCAGCAAUGAAUCAGCCUGACAAAAACUUCCUUGUUACAGAAAUCUCCUUCGAGGUCGUCAAACGUUGUUGGGACAGCGAGGGUUGUGGGAGGAGCCAUUGUCUUUUCUUUGCUGGAUUUCUUUGGAGUCUUCUUUGAUGGGUGUGAGGUUGAUGGUGUUGAUACAAUGGGUUUUAUAGAGACGUGCUUGAUGUAAAUUUAUACAUUUUCCUUUUACUGUUUGAUGUAGUAUUUCCAUUUUUUAAAAUUGUAUAUUUGCUCUUUUUUUCUUAUAUUGUAUAUUUCCAUUUAUUAUAUUGUAUAUUACCUUUUAUUUAUUUUUUUCAUUUUAAGAUAGAUGUUUAAUGUAGAAUUUAUAUUUUCUAAAAUGUAUAUUUACUUAUUAUUUUCUCUUAUAUUGUAUAUAUACAUUUCUUAUAUUGGGGGUGAUUGGUAGUUGCUGUAGGUGAUGUCCACAACCCUAUUUAUUUCUACAGCACCAAAUUCAGAGCAAUCAAGCUUUAAAUUUUUUUUUGAAACCACAGCUCUUAAAAUAACCUACAGCUGUACAAAUGCUCUGCAGAGCCAAAUAUCCAAAGCAAUUUUUUAGUGCUUCAAUAAAAUUCUACAACAAUAAAAUCUAAAGCCACAUCAAAAAGUUUACAGAUUUUUUUCUACAACAAAAUAUUUAAAGCUACGGCCAUUACCAAUCGGACCCAUUGUAUAUUACUUAUUGUUGUUUUUUUAUAUUAUUGUAUAUAUACAUUUCUUAUAUUGUAUAUUACUUAUUGUCGUUUUUUUACAUUUUAAGAUAAUUGUUUUAAUGUAGUAUUUCCAUUUUAUAAAUUGAAUAUUUACUAAUUAUUUAUUUUAACUUAUAUUACAUAUAUAAAUUUCUUAUAUUGUAUAUUACUCAUUAUCGUUUGGGCAAAUCUCCAAAAUAGCACAUUUCUAAGUUUAUAUCACAUAAAUAGCACUCAAAAACUAAAAUGACCAAAAUAGCAUUUUAUCUUUUGAAAAAUUUAAAUUUUUUUAUUUUUCAAAAUUUG
Molecule: long non-coding RNA, 2534 nt
Filed under: Brassica rapa (field mustard)
Lineage: Eukaryota; Viridiplantae; Streptophyta; Magnoliopsida; Brassicales; Brassicaceae
Description: long non-coding RNA (BRAP_LNC001384)
Source: RNAcentral